RNAcentral lists this ribosomal RNA (482 nucleotides) under uncultured bacterium. Its description in RNAcentral is "bacterial SSU rRNA". It matches the Rfam family "Bacterial small subunit ribosomal RNA", at positions 30 to 506 of the family's 1533-position model. The record is from RNAcentral.
UUGAACGCUGGCGGCAUGCCUUACACAUGCAAGUCGAACGGCAGCACGGAGCUUGCUCUGGUGGCGAGUGGCGAACGGGUGAGUAAUAUAUCGGAACGUACCCUGGAGUGGGGGAUAACGUAGCGAAAGUUACGCUAAUACCGCAUACGAUCUACGGAUGAAAGUGGGGGAUCGCAAGACCUCAUGCUCGUGGAGCGGCCGAUAUCUGAUUAGCUAGUUGGUAGGGUAAAAGCCUACCAAGGCAUCGAUCAGUAGCUGGUCUGAGAGGACGACCAGCCACACUGGAACUGAGACACGGUCCAGACUCCUACGGGAGGCGGCAGUGGGGAAUUUUGGACAAUGGGCGCAAGCCUGAUCCAGCCAUGCCGCGUGAGUGAAGAAGGCCUUCGGGUUGUAAAGCUCUUUCAGACGGAAAGAAAUCGGGCGCGUGAAUAGCGUGCCUGGAUGACGGUACUGUCAGAAGAAGCACCGGCUAACUACGU